This is a long non-coding RNA of Bos taurus (domestic cattle), 996 nucleotides long. Lineage: Eukaryota; Metazoa; Chordata; Mammalia; Artiodactyla; Bovidae. The record is from Ensembl.
AGAGACGUCUGAGCUCGCGAGGACCCGUCCUGAGGGAAGGGAAGUUGGGAGACUGAGUCGGUCCCCACGGCGGGACGCCCGGACCAGGGAGCGGCGCAGACACGAGUCUUGUCCCAGUGAUGUCUGAGAACAUCCCUAGAAGUCCAUGCGGGCAUUAUCCCCAGUGUGCAGGUGGGGACACGGACAAGCCUUGAGAGACACAAGGACUCAUCCAGGAUGGAGAACACGUAGGAAUCAGGAGCAGGCCCCAGAAUUUCCCUGCCUGAAGAUGCUCCUCGCUUAUGUAGAGCUCAACAUGCCCGACUCGGACCUGGAGCAGCGAGCCCGCCAUCUCCUGGAGCAGCUGGUGACCUUGGAGCCCACUGAGGCAGAGGGGCAUGUACCAGCUCCAGAACAAGCUCUGGAAACAUCUCCAGACUUGGAACCAACUAUACCUCUCCUGCCACAGCUCCAGAGCCAGAGCAUACUCAUGCCUUAGCUCUCAUUAAACUCAUAAUGGAGAAAAAGCGUCUGCACAGUUUUCAAUUCUGGAUCCAGAGAAGGUUCUUUAGCACCUCUCCCUCCAUCUGCAGAGCCAGAAUCAUCACAGAAAUCUGUCCUAGUACUUCCUCUACAACUUCAGCCAGUAUCCUCAAUACCGUCAGUUCCAGAGCUAAGCCAGCCUCAGCCAGGGUGCUGUUCCAUUGUGCUUUGUCACCAGCUGUCGCCGGAGUAUUAUCUUCUUUCAGUUCUAGAGACCACGGCAGAGCCAGUUCUAGUUAUUUUCCAGCUAGAGUGAGAUAGUACAAAGGUAUCAAGUAUCCAAAAGAGUAAAACAGAGAAGACAAAUUAUCACUGAGAUAGCAACAGCAGACAGCAGCCAUCAACCCUUGGCUGACAAAAUGAAGGUAACUGAAUAGACAUCCCUCCAAGUUGAAGUGCAGACCUCUGAAAAGAUUGCUGAUGUAGGUAUCUCUGGUCCCAGAAGAGGGGGGCUCAUGAGACUGGGAUCUGUAU